UGAAUACGAGACGCUAAGGCGUCGAAGUAGUGUAUGUCAUACUUCCAAGAAAAGCUUGCACUGUCAUAGAUAAAAAACGCCUGUACCAUAACCGACACAGGUGGGUAGGUAGAGUAUACUAAGGGGCGCGAGAUAACUCUCUCUAAGGAACUCGGCAAAAUAACUCCGUAACUUCGGGAGAAGGAGUGCCUUAUUCGUAAGGUUGCAAUAACAAGAUCCAAGCAACUGUUUAUCAAAAACACAGGUCUCCGCUAAGUCGUAAGACGAUGUAUGGGGGCUGACGCCUGCCCAGUGCCAGAAGGUUAAAGAAGUUGGUUAGCAAUUGCGAAGCUGAUAACUGAAGCCCUGGUGAACGGCGGCCGUAACAAUAACGGUCCUAAGGUAGCGAAAUUCCUUGUCGGGUAAGUUCCGACCCGCACGAAAGGCGUAAUGAUUUGGAUACUGUCUCGGAGAGGGGCUCGGUGAAAUAGACUUGUCUGUGAAGAUGCGGACUACCUGCACCAGGACAGAAAGACCCUAUGAAGCUUUACUGUAACUUGAAAUUGAAAUUGGACUUUAUUCGCGCAGUAUAGGUGGGAGGCGUUGAUUAUAAUCUUGUGGGAUUAUUGGAGCCAUCAGUGAGAUACCACUCUUGUAAUGUUAGAUUUCUAACUUUGAAUCAUUAUCUGGUCAAAGAACAGUUUCAGGCGGGCAGUUUGACUGGGGCGGUCGCCUCCUAAACGGUAACGGAGGCGUACAAAGGUUUCCUCUGAACGGUUAGAAAUCGUAUCUAGAGUGUAAAGGCAUAAGGAAGCUUGACUGUGAGACCUACAAGUCGAGCAGGGACGAAAGUCGGUCUUAGUGAUCUGACGGUACUGAGUGGAAAGGCCGUCACUCAACGGAUAAAAGUUACUCUAAGGAUAACAGGCUGAUCUCCCCCAAGAGUUCACAUCGACGGGGAGGUUUGGCACCUCGAUGUCGGCUCAUCGCAUCCUGGGGCGGUAGUACGUCCCAAGGGUUGGGCUGUUCGCCCAUGAAAGCGGUACGCGAGCUGGGUUCAGAACGUCGUGAGACAGUUCGGUCCAUAUCCGGUGUAGGCGUUAGAAUAUUGAGAGGAGCCUUCUUUAGUACGAGAGGACCGAGAAGGACAUACCUCUGGUGUACCAGUUAUCAUGCCAACGGUAAACGCUGGGUAGCUAUGUAUGGAGUGGAUAACCGCUGAAAGCAUCUAAGUGGGAAGCCCACCUCAAGAUAAGUAUUCUCAUC
RNAcentral lists this ribosomal RNA (1245 nucleotides) under metagenome. RNAcentral's name for it is "bacterial LSU rRNA". It matches the Rfam family "Bacterial large subunit ribosomal RNA", at positions 1564 to 2818 of the family's 2925-position model. The record is from RNAcentral.